GACGAACGCUGGCGGCGUGCUUAACACAUGCAAGUCGAACGGAAAGGCCUUUUCGGAGGUACUCGAGUGGCGAACGGGUGAGUAACACGUGGGUGAUCUGCCCUGCACUCUGGGAUAAGCCUGGGAAACUGGGUCUAAAACCGGAUAGGACCGCACUUUAGUGUGUGUGGUGGAAAGUUUUUUCGGUGUAGGAUGAGCCCGCGGCCUAUCAGCUUGUUGGUGGGGUAAUGGCCUACCAAGGCGGCGACGGGUAGCCGGACUGAGAGGUUGGUCGGCCACAUUGGGACUGAGAUACGGCCCAGACUCCUACGGGAGGCAGCAGUGGGGAAUAUUGCACAAUGGGCGCAAGCCUGAUGCAGCGACGCCGCGUGGGGGAUGACGGCCUUCGGGUUGUAAACUCCUUUCGCCAGGGACGAAGCGUUUUGUGACGGUACCUGGAGAAGAAGCACCGGCUAACUACGUG
RNAcentral lists this ribosomal RNA (463 nucleotides) under uncultured bacterium. RNAcentral describes it as "partial 16S ribosomal RNA". It matches the Rfam family "Bacterial small subunit ribosomal RNA", at positions 28 to 507 of the family's 1533-position model. The record is from RNAcentral.